This is a long non-coding RNA of Oncorhynchus keta (chum salmon), 2571 nucleotides long. RefSeq lists it as uncharacterized. The record is from RefSeq and is a predicted model, not a curated record. Lineage: Eukaryota; Metazoa; Chordata; Actinopteri; Salmoniformes; Salmonidae. The transcript is spliced from 4 exons.
ACUUCUCAAACACCGAUCUGGUCUGUUUCGCAAGUGUUCCCGGAAGUACCGAGAUGUUGCGCCUCUGGCUUUAAAAACUCUGUGUUAUCAAGGACUCCAUUAUUAACUUCUCCAUUGGAUUGGUCGAACAGUGCAAAAGAAAACCUCCCCCUACAGUUGUUUUCUCUCUCGUCAACACCAGUAUGCUGGCAAUCUAGUUUCAGACGUUUUUUUAUUUAUUUAUUUUUAACAUAAUUACAGUAUUUUUAAUGGGAGGAAAAUUGAGGGGAGGGCUUUAGGAUUUGUGUGACAGUUCAACAGCGCAAUCUCCGUAAAGGGCAGUCAGACGGCUGAGGGCAAAACAAAUCGUAGAACUGGUUCUCGUAAGAGCUCGCAAGGGGGUGUCAAAUACGGACAUUGCCCCCCUCCCCCCCGGGAAUAUAGCAUUUACUGAUGAUGUUGGUGUCUGAAGAGUUUCUGCUGCCUCUCCAGCUUCUAGACAAGAUCAUCUCUGACAGUGCAACAACCUGUCCAACAUUUGACAAAGAUGCGAAGUGAACAAGUUCCAGACUUCGUGGGGAAAUGUCCAGACCGCAGCUCUUCACGUGAGACACAUCCAGAUUUGGGGUAACAUCUCCCAGCUGUUCAGACCAGAGAUGGAUCAAGAGCUCAACCACUAUUUCGGCAGAGAACAGACAGUGGAUUUUACUGCAGGGAUGUAUGGGGAUACAGGCGAGACUGGCAACUACAGACAGCUCCAGGCUGGACCUGUCUGUCCCCUCUCUCUCUCUCUCCUCUAUCCUCAUCUAUCUGUCCCCUCUCUCUCUCCUCUAUCCUCAUCUAUCUGUCCUCUCUCUCUCUCCUCUAUCCUCAUCUAUCUGUCCUCUCUCUCUCUCCUCUAUCCUCAUCUGUCUGUCCCCUCUCUCUCUCCUCUAUCCUCAUCUGUCUGUCCUCUCUCUCUCUCCUCUAUCCUCAUCUAUCUGUCCCCUCUCUCUCUCUCCUCUAUCCUCAUCUAUCUGUCCUCUCUCUCUCUCCUCUAUCCUCAUCUAUCUGUCCUCUCUCUCUCUCCUCUAUCCUCAUCUAUCUGUCCUAUCCUCAUCUAUCUGUCCCCACCACUGCUUGUAAACGACGAUGAUAUCUGUCAAGUCGUGUCCUGUUAAUUUCAUAACUAGGGAUCGAACAGAACAUAUGUCGGCUAGUUGGUAGAAUCAGGCUUAAUCUGUAUCUGGGAAACAGGCCCUUGGGGUAGAUUUAUGUGUUGUACCCAUAGAGUUAGGUAGAUGUAUGUGUUGUACCCAUAGAGUUAGGUAGAUUUAUGUGUUUUACCCAUAGAGGUAGGUAGGUUUUUGUGUUGUACCCAUAGAGGUAGGUAGGUUUAUGUGUUGUGCCCAUAGAGUUAGGUAGAUGUAUGUGUUGAGCCCAUAGAGUUAGGUAGAUGUAUGUGUUGUGCCCAUAGAGUUAGGUAGAUGUAUGUGUUGAGCCCAUAGAGUUAGGUAGGUUUAUGUGUUGUGCCCAUAGAGUUAGGUAGAUGUAUGUGUUGAGCCCAUAGAGUUAGGUAGAUGUAUGUGUUGAGCCCAUAGAGUUAGGUAGAUGUAUGUGUUGAGCCCAUAGAGUUAGGUAGAUGUAUGUGUUGAGCCCAUAGAGUUAGGUAGGUUUAUGUGUUGAGCCCAUAGAGUUAGGUAGAUUUAUGUGUUGAGCCCAUAGAGUUAGGUAGAUUUAUGUGUUGAGCCCAUAGAGUUAGGUAGAUGUAUGUGUUGAGCCCAUAGAGUUAGGUAGGUUUAUGUGUUGAGCACAUAGAGUUAGGUAGAUUUAUGUGUUGAGCCCAUAGAGUUAGGUAGAUGUAUGUGUUGAGCCCAUAGAGUUAGGUAGAUUUAUGUGUUGUGCCCAUAGAGUUAGGUAGAUGUAUGAGUUGAGCCCAUAGAGUUAGGUAGAUGUAUGUGUUGAGCCCCAGGCAACAUUUUCUAUUUCAUUAAGGGACUUUUUUCUUUUUCAUUUGCAACAUUUGUGGUCCACCACCUUCACUCCUUCCGGGAUAUGUGCAAUAUGGUAUCUUAUUACCUGUCAUGACGUGGAUAUGAAUAUGUAAUAUUGUAUGAACAAGUGACACGUUGUUUGAAAACAACAAAAUUACCAACGUCUUCCAUUAAGAAAUAUUUAUAGUCUUCAUAUGCAUUAGCUUGUUUAGAGGGACUGUGGUGCCAAUAUUAUAACUAACCAUGCAUGCAGGGUUGCUGGUGUUGCAUGCAGGGUUGCUGGUGUUGCAUGCAGGGUUGCUGGUGUUGCUUGCUUUUUUAAAUUAACCAAAAGGUUGCGAGGUCAAAUCCCCGAGCUUGACAAGGUAGAAUGUAGAAUACGUAGAAUGUAUGCACACAUGACUGUAAGUCGCUUUGGAAAAAGCGUCUGCUAAAUGGCAUAUUAUAUUAUUAUUAUUAUUAUAAGGUACAAAUCUGUCGCUCUGCCCCUGAACAAGGCAGUUAACCCCACUGUUCCUAGACCAGUUAACCCCACUGUUCCUAGACCAGUUAACCCCACUGUUCCUAGACCAGUUAACCCACUGUUCCUAGACCAGUUAACCCACUGUUCCUAGACCAG